UACGGAGGGGGCAAGUGUUGUUCGGAAUUACUGGGCGUAAAGGGCGCGCAGGCGGCUUGGCAAGUCGAGUGUGAAAGCCCUCAGCUUAACUGAGGAAUGGCGCUCGAAACUACCUGGCUUGAGGGCGGGAGAGGGAAGUGGAACUCUCGGUGUAGGGGUGAAAUCUGUAGAUAUCGAGAGGAACACCGGUGGCGAAGGCGGCUUCCUGGCCCGUACCUGACGCUGAGGCGCGAAAGCGUGGGGAGCAAACAGGAUUAGAAACCCCCGUAGUCC
This 273-nucleotide ribosomal RNA is filed under the name uncultured bacterium. RNAcentral describes it as "partial 16S ribosomal RNA". It matches the Rfam family "Bacterial small subunit ribosomal RNA", at positions 524 to 796 of the family's 1533-position model. The record is from RNAcentral.